Molecule: ribosomal RNA, 663 nt
Filed under: uncultured Pseudonocardia sp.
Lineage: Bacteria; Bacillati; Actinomycetota; Actinomycetes; Pseudonocardiales; Pseudonocardiaceae
Description: bacterial SSU rRNA
Rfam family: Bacterial small subunit ribosomal RNA
Source: RNAcentral
AGGCCUCUUUUGGGGUACACGAGCGGCGAACGGGUGAGUAACACGUGGGUGACCUGCCCUUCACUCUGGGAUAAGCCUGGGAAACUGGGUCUAAUACUGGAUAUUCACGCAGUCUCGCAUGGGGUUGUGUGGAAAGUUUUUUCGGUGGGGGAUGGGCCCGCGGCCUAUCAGCUUGUUGGUGGGGUGAUGGCCUACCAAGGCGACGACGGGUAGCCGGCCUGAGAGGGCGACCGGCCACACUGGGACUGAGACACGGCCCAGACUCCUACGGGAGGCAGCAGUGGGGAAUAUUGCGCAAUGGGCGGAAGCCUGACGCAGCGACGCCGCGUGGGGGAUGACGGCCUUCGGGUUGUAAACCUCUUUCGACCGGGACGAAGCGGGAGUGACGGUACCGGUAGAAGAAGCACCGGCCAACUACGUGCCAGCAGCCGCGGUAAUACGUAGGGUGCGAGCGUUGUCCGGAAUUAUUGGGCGUAAAGAGCUCGUAGGCGGUGUGUCGCGUCGGUCGUGAAAACUUGGGGCUUAACUCUGAGCUUGCGGUCGAUACGGGCAUCACUGGAGUUCGGCAGGGGAGACUGGAAUUCCUGGUGUAGCGGUGAAAUGCGCAGAUAUCAGGAGGAACACCGGUGGCGAAGGCGGGUCUCUGGGCCGAUACUGACGCUG